This 57-nucleotide non-coding RNA is filed under the name unclassified sequences. The record is from Rfam.
GGACGUUCACCUCUAUCUUGGAGGCGCAACCAACUGAUCCACGGAACGGGGGACAGU